This 271-nucleotide ribosomal RNA is filed under the name Enterobacter sp. BC2_TSA2C4. RNAcentral's name for it is "partial 16S ribosomal RNA". It matches the Rfam family "Bacterial small subunit ribosomal RNA", at positions 1076 to 1347 of the family's 1533-position model. The record is from RNAcentral. Lineage: Bacteria; Pseudomonadati; Pseudomonadota; Gammaproteobacteria; Enterobacterales; Enterobacteriaceae.
UGGGUUAAGUCCCGCAACGAGCGCAACCCUUAUCCUUUGUUGCCAGCGGUCCGGCCGGGAACUCAAAGGAGACUGCCAGUGAUAAACUGGAGGAAGGUGGGGAUGACGUCAAGUCAUCAUGGCCCUUACGAGUAGGGCUACACACGUGCUACAAUGGCGCAUACAAAGAGAAGCGAACUCGCGAGAGCAAGCGGACCUCAUAAAGUGCGUCGUAGUCCGGAUCGGAGUCUGCAACUCGACUCCGUGAAGUCGGAAUCGCUAGUAAUCGUGG